AGACUAAGCUGAACUGAUCACUUCAACGGCCUACUUACUUAUUAUAAAGCACUGACCUUCCUUCCAAAAUUGAGGGACAAUUCACAUCAUUUCAAUGACAACACGACUGCUGGUUAGUACAAACUUGGUCAGUGGGAGAACGAGGAUUGGCUUCGUCUCAUCUCGUAGCUAUAUACGAGAAUACAGACGGAGUUUCAAUCACCACCAAACAACAGAAGGACUCGAACCAAGAACCCGCUCAUGCUGAUUUUGCCAUGUCAAAACCUGGUGUUGGUGGAGAUCCCGCUGUUUCCCGAAGUGAUGUGGUUCUUAAACAAACCAUCCUGGAUUCUCACGAAUACAUGGAGAUGAAGCCGAGAGCUCACCUCGGUAUUCCACCCAAUCAUCAAACCAGUCCACCUGGUAACUUUUCUUCUCUGAAUCCAACACAGGCAGCAUGUGAUUCAUCACUACAAGCAUGGCAAGGGGGUUCAACUUUAGAUAUUAUACUAAAUUCCCGUGAUGGGGGAUACAAAUCGUGUUCAGGUCCUACAACAUUUCUUCCCCAGCAAGGAAUUGCUUUGGAAAGUCCUGAUUCGGUGAUCACCACAUAUUUAUGAUUUACUUCCAUAUGAUUGGUCAAGGUAUUAGUAAUAGUUACCAUUAUUUUAUAGAAGUGUCUUUUAGAGAAGAUGUGACCACAUCACAAAAAAGUGAAAUAGUAUUGUUAGGGAACACACAUUAAAGACAUUGAAAUAUGUCUGAUGACGUAAGACAAAUUAAACAUAAUUGGCAAUCUAUUUGUAAUCUACAUUUUAAAACAUAAUCAACGUGGACUUGACAAAAUAAACAUUAUAUAUUUGUUUCUCCUUUUAAAUAUCAAGAUUAAUUUCUGGUCAUGAAAUCCAUUUGUCUUCCAAAAACUGUCACAAGAUGAAAAAAAAUUGAAUAGAAAUAGUUUGAAAGUCGUUUAUGCGUUAAUAAUGUAUAUAAAUUAAUGCAUCCUCCACAACUUUACACUGCAUUCGAGCAUUUCGAGGGACAAAUUACAGUUUUGUGUGGAAUAGUUUUGAAAUACUUCGGAAAAAGAAAUGCUUGGUUUGAUAAAGUUCCUAUGGAAGAAAAAGAUCAAUCCACUAAUCUGUACCAGACGUAACAUACUUUCAUCGGUAAACAGACCGGGCGUGACUAUGGGCCUUUUCACACGAGAAUCUUGAAUCAUUGUAAUGAUGAUUGCAAGUCGUCUUUAGAAUCAUCAAACCUUUCACACGCCCACUCUAAAACUGAUUUGAAUUCAAAUUCCUGAACGGAGGCGGUAUGUUUCCUUGGCGACUUGUCAAUCAAAGCACUGCAUCGCAAAUAUUAACUACGAUGAGUGCAUGAAUUAUCUACGGAAGUGUUUGAAAGGUCAUGUUUUGAAGGUCAAGACUUUCACACGCAAAAUCCGUACCGUAAUUCGAGUGAAACUUAACUGGAAUUCACCUUCGGAGUAGAAUUUGAAUUCGUGAUUGUGAUUAUCGUUCGUGAUUCUAAUCAUAUUCUAGUUUUGGUUUCACAUGUGUUCAAAAUUCGUGAUUAGCCUUAUUUUCCACUGAAGUCAUCAUUCAAAACACGAAAGGGCGGCAUAUUAUUUUGAUCUGUGUUUAAAUCUAGGGUUAGUAAAAUCUACGAUUAAUUAUAUGUAUUGUAAUAUCGACGUAUAUUCAUUUCACAUUUAGGCGUCAGUUAUUGUAAGACUUGCACAUAUUAACCAAACUGGUAUCACUCCACAUUUUAGAGCGUAUAGUACACAGCUAAUAUUAUGAUUGAUGAUGACCAAUUACAUUGCAGUCUUAUAAAUCAAUCAAAAUGUAAUCAAUCGUAUUUCUGUGUAUGAAGUGUUAUUUUAAUUCUGCUUUUGUGUUGGUUGAUGUUGAUGUUAUUUGGAUUUUUUCUUGUUUUUUUAAAUUUCUAUUUAUAGUAGACCGGCCAAGAGUCAAAAAGUGCUCUAGAUAAGGAUUCGACGGCAAAAUUUGUUUAUGCUUGGCAUCCCAGCUAAAAGGCUUGCAAAAAUACCCAGGAAUAGCGUACGGCCGGAUGCCAAGCGCAAUUUUGCGUGAAAGUGUCAUUUUUAGCGUAAAAACUGAAAGAAUGUCGAAAAUCACGCAUUUUGAAAUUUUGAUGGAUUAUUUUAAUAUUUUUGAUUAUCUUUGAUAUGAAAUUAUUUUUAUUCAGAGUUUCAAAUUAUAAGUCUCAUAAAUAUGCAUUUCAAAUUUGAAUAUUGCACACACACAUAUGGCACAGAGAAACAUAAAACCGCGAUUUCCUCAAAAUAAAAGUUUGUGAAAACUAUCAAUAGUUUGAAGUUUUUUUUACGCAGCUUAAAUUCUUCGAUUCAACUGCGUUUAUCCAUCAAAUGUAUAGUAAAUUUCCUAAUGUCACAAAUAUUAAAAGAAUUUUCAAGUAAGAUGGAAGAUAUCUCACUUUAUGUUAUCUGAAAUGAGACAAUGUGCAUUCUACCAGGUGCGCGUUUUGAAAGAAAAAUUGAAAAUACCGUACAUUAUGUACAUAAUUACAUGAAUAAGUACAUACUAAAGCGAGUUUUUAAUUACAUGUAUAAGUGCAUUCUAAAGCGAGUUUUUAAUUGGAUAGCACAAUUUGUCAAUUCUUUGCAUCCCAGCUAAAAGUCUUGCGGAAAUCCUGAGGAAUAACGUACGGGCGGAUGCCAAGUGCACUUUUGCGUGAAAGUAUCAUUUUUUGCGUAAAAUUUGAAAGACUGUUGAAAAUCACGCAUUUUGAUAUUUUGACGGAUUAUCAUCAUAUUUUUGGUUAUCUUUGAUAUGGAAUUAUUUUUAUUCAGAGUUUUAAAUUAUAAGUCUACUAAAUAUGCAUUUCAAUUUGGAAUAUUACACACACAUAUAUGGCAAUAUGAAAUAUAAAAUCGUGAUUUACUAAAAAUAGUAGUUUGUGAAAACUAUCAAUAGUAUAAUGUUUGUGUUCUGCAUCUCAAUUUCGUCAAUUUUAACGCUAACCGAAUAAAUACAUAAUAAUUGUUGUCAUGGCACAUAUAGUGAAAACAAAUGUUGAAAGAAGAUGCAAGAUAUAUCAUUUUAUGUUAUAUAUGCGAAAGAUAACAAUGUACAAUUAUCGGAUGCGCAUUUCUGAUAAAAUACAAACAGCGCACAAUAUUACAUCUAUAUUGCACAUACUAAUAUUAAUCAGUGCGAUACUCGUCAUGAUAUUAUAUCGGAUUAUGUUUACUUUUGUAGAGUACGAUCUUCUUGCUAUUUCCGCGAAUUAAUUGGUGCUGAACGUAAAUCUACCUGUGGCGAUAUUCAUAAAUAGGUCUGAUAUUUAAUUUGCCGUUACCAUGGUAACAUUUAUUUUGUAGGAAUAUCUAUAUCCAAAAUCAUAGAAACAGUAGCGUACCUAGGAUUUUCCACAAGGGGGGGGGGUCAAAACCGUCGGCCAAAAAAUUAAAUUUGACAAGCAAAAAAAAAAGGUCUUCAAGCUCGUCAGGGGGGGGGGGGCAAAAAGGGUCUUCAAGCUCGUCGGGGGGGGGGCAUGGAUACGUCUUUUGCAUGGGUUGGGACUCGUCAGGGGGAGCAGACUGCCCCCUCUGCCCCCCCCCCCCCCCGUAGGUACACUAGUGCAUAGAAAAUAUACAUGUAUGAAUAAAACGAUCGAAUUAGCAUUUUUAAACUACUCUGUCAAUCUACAUUUUACUUCAAUUAUUGGAUUAUCAAAGUCUUAAAAAUUAUGGCCGUUGCCACGGCAAUACCUAUUUUUUGUCUCGCCUGCAUGCAUAGCAGAGCAGGACUAAAGGAGCCACUUUUCCGGCGGAGGCGACGGUAGUUUUGAUAUAACAGCGUCAUAUCAACCUUGAAAUCUUAACCAAGGUUACGUUUUCGAAAUUUCGUUAUAACUUUGAACGUAUAUAGGAAAAAAAAAUAAUGACACUUAUAACAGUAUUCAGGUAUUCCUGAUCGUCUUGCACAAGUUUUAGAUCACAUGAUUAAGGUCAAAGGUCAUUUAGAGUCACUGAACUUUGGCCAUAUAUAUGGGGGUAUUUUUUUUAAAUGUCAUCAUAACUUUUGAAUUUUAUUGAUCCAGUUCAUGAUUAAACUUGAAUAUAAGGGUAUUAAAGUAUGAUGGAUCAUUUUGCACAAAUUUCAGUUCACAUGAUCAAGGUUAUACGUCAUUUAGGUUCGAUGAGCUUAUUAUUUUAUUAUCACAUGAAUGGCGCUUUUGUGAAUAAUUAUUAGUUUCAGUUGUUUCCAAUGUUCUGCUGCUAUAAUUAUUAUGUGAAAAUAUGAAUAAUAAAUGUUAUUUGGUCUUUUGCAUUGCAAGUU
Lytechinus pictus (painted urchin) is the source of this 4310-nucleotide long non-coding RNA. RefSeq lists it as uncharacterized. Lineage: Eukaryota; Metazoa; Echinodermata; Echinoidea; Temnopleuroida; Toxopneustidae. The transcript is spliced from 3 exons. The record is from RefSeq and is a predicted model, not a curated record.